AUGCGAUAAGUAGUGUGAAUUGCAGAAUUCAGUGAAUCAUCGAAUCUUUGAACGCACAUUGCGCCCCUUGGUAUUCCAUGGGGCAUGCUUGUUCGAGCGUCAUUUGUACCCUCAAGCUUUGCUUGGUGUUGGGUGUUUUGUCCUUUCUUCGCGUUUGGACUCACCUUAAAGUUAUUGGCAGCCAGUGUAUUGGUUUGAAGCGCAGCACAAUUUGCGAUUCAGGCUGGUGAUCACUUGCGUCCAACAAGUAUUUUUAACACUUUUGACCUCGGAUCAAGUAGGGAUACCCGCUGAACUUAA
This 300-nucleotide unclassified non-coding RNA is filed under the name uncultured Pleosporales. RNAcentral describes it as "partial contains 5.8S ribosomal RNA, internal transcribed spacer 2, and large subunit ribosomal RNA". The stretch from base 1 to 102 matches the Rfam family "5.8S ribosomal RNA", at positions 53 to 154 of the family's 154-position model. Lineage: Eukaryota; Fungi; Ascomycota; Dothideomycetes; Pleosporales. The record is from RNAcentral.